Molecule: ribosomal RNA, 396 nt
Filed under: uncultured bacterium
Lineage: Bacteria
Description: partial 16S ribosomal RNA
Rfam family: Bacterial small subunit ribosomal RNA
Source: RNAcentral
AUACGUAGGUGACAAGCGUUAUCCGGAUUUACUGGGCGUAAAGGGCGUGUAGGCGGUCUUGCAAGUCAGAAGUGAAAUUCCUGAGCUCAACUCGGGCGCUGCUUCUGAAACUGCAGGACUUGAGUGCUGGAGGGGAUAGCGGAAUUCCUAGUGGAGCGGGAAAAUGCGCAGAUAUUAGGAAGAACGCCGGUGGCGAAGGCGGUUAGCUGGACAGUAACUGACUCUGAGGGGCGAAAGCGGUGGGAGCAAACAGGAUUAGAUACCCUGGUAGUACACGCCGUAAGCGAUGAAUACUAGGUGUAGGGGGUAUCGACUCCCUCUGUGCCGCAGUUAACACAAUAAGUAUUCCGCCUGGGGAGUACGGCCGCAAGGUUGAAAAUCAAAUGAAUUGACGGG